Molecule: transfer RNA, 74 nt
Filed under: Nannocystaceae bacterium
Lineage: Bacteria; Pseudomonadati; Myxococcota; Nannocystales; Nannocystaceae
Description: tRNA-Arg
Rfam family: tRNA
About the family: Transfer RNA (tRNA) molecules are approximately 80 nucleotides in length. Their secondary structure includes four short double-helical elements and three loops (D, anti-codon, and T loops).
Source: RNAcentral
GCACCCUUAGCUCAGCUGGAUAGAGCGUCGGUCUACGGAACCGAAGGUCAUACGUUCGAAUCGUAUAGGGUGCA